Molecule: ribosomal RNA, 445 nt
Filed under: uncultured bacterium
Lineage: Bacteria
Description: partial 16S ribosomal RNA
Rfam family: Bacterial small subunit ribosomal RNA
Source: RNAcentral
GUGAGGAAUAUUGCGCAAUGGAGGCAACUCUGACGCAGCCAUGCCGCGUGCAGGAAGAAGGCGCUACGCGUUGUAAACUGCUUUUAACCGGGAAGAAACCCCAGGACGUGUCCUGGGUUGACGGUACCGGAGGAAUAAGCACCGGCUAACUUCGUGCCAGCAGCCGCGGUAAUACGAAGGGUGCAAGCGUUAUCCGGAUUCAGUGGGUUUAAAGGGUGCGUAGGCGGAGCGUUAAGUCAGUGGUGAAAUCCUGCAGCUUAACUGUAGACUUGCCAUUGAUACUGGCGCUCUUGAGUGCGCUUGAAGUGGGCGGAAUGUGCCGUGUAGCGGUGAAAUGCUUAGAUAUGGCACAGAACACCAAUUGCGAAGGCAGCUCACUAAGGCGAUACUGACGCUGAGGCACGAAAGCGUGGGGAUCGAACAGGAUUAGAUACCAGUGUAGUCC